UGUUGGAAGCCAUAAUUUAAGUCACUAAUUCAUCCCAUUUGUAAGGAGUCAAAUUCAGAAUUACCACCUGCAGUCAACUAUCUUGGAGAUGAGUAUAUAUUUAAUCUAGAGACACAGAGGAAAUGCUAGUUCAUUCCAAAAGUCACUUGUUUUCUACAUUAGAACAACAUGGGAAGGUCGUCAAUACAAUAGGGAUGAAGAGAGUCGAUUGGAUGCUCUAUGUUUAGCAAUGGAGCUAGGAGCUGAUCACAUCGAUGUUGAGCUUCAGGUUCCUUUUUUUCUCUCUUGGUGCAAAUGGUGCAGCUGGUCAUUACUUUCUUCGACUCAUAUAUAGGUAUAUAAAGCAUAAUUUAUUGUAAUGCAGUUAUUAACUCAGUAACAUUUAAUAAACUUAUUUUUUCUCAAAAACAGAACAAUUGAAUGAGGGCAAAUUUGUAAGAACUAAGAAGUUGGACUUACUAGGGAAAGCCUCUUUCUGUAUUAACUUCUUUAUGGAUUAAGUCAAAAAAUAGUUUGUCUUAUACUCUUAUUCUGUAUUUUAACUUAUGCAUUUGUUUUUUCAUAUAUUAUGAUAUUUUAAAUUCAUGGGAUUAUAAUGUCUUUCAGAUACACAGAUAGAAUGAAAAGUGUUGAUCAUCAAAUUACAGUGCUUUUGUAUGAUUUAUUUAUAAAAAAGUAAUGCUUGUUUUCCAGGUUGAGAAGAAGAAGAAAACAAAAACUAAAAAUUACUGGGAUUGGGAAUUGGCAAGGGAGCUUUGUAUCUUUGGUUUCCGAGAUAAGUUCUAUGAGUUUAUUCUGGUCUAUAUACACACAUGAAUAUAUGAUUAUUUCAACUCAGCAAAACAUGUGUUAAUUUUUUUUAAAAAUUGGUUCAUACAGCUUUAUAAAAUUCAGUAACCAGUCCUCCAAAUUCCUGUUUAGUUCAAAAGAAUUCUCAUCUGUUUGGUUCCUGAUUAAUCUAUUUUAUGUUGCAGAUAACAUUAUUUGCAACAUCAGAAUACAAUUUACAGAUACAAGAAUAAUAAACAAAUAAACUAAGGAACUUUGUUAUUCUGAUUACAUGACUUGUUUUUGCAGUCAACAUCUCAAAUGAAGAGCAGGCUUCUAUUAGUGUAGCUGUUCCAUCUGUACAUGAGACUGAAGGUGGUUCUGCUUCUUUAGGUCCCACUUACAGGGAUUCCUUCUU
This is a non-coding RNA of Lactuca sativa (garden lettuce), 1186 nucleotides long. NCBI's taxonomy places the organism in Eukaryota, Viridiplantae, Streptophyta, Magnoliopsida, Asterales, Asteraceae. The record is from RefSeq and is a predicted model, not a curated record.